GAAUGAACUAAACCCAUCGGAUAUUCCACUAGAAUUGAUAGACAGCAACAGUGGUAAUUAUGAUGUCAUGCCCGACGACAAUAAUGACGACAACAGCAGUAAUUAUGAUGUCUUGCCCAACGACAAUAAUGACGACAACACCGAUCAUUAUGAUGUAUUGCCCGACGACGGCCAUGACGACUGUAUCGUUCCGUAUGCAGUCGUCCCUUUGGGCAUUACAGAGCAUGAUGCGACACCAAUGUGCACAUCUCUCCAGAUAACAGAUGAUUAUCUGCACGCUUGUUAUCGAGAAUCCAGCUACAUGAUCCCAACAUCAUCGUAUGUAUUGGGCCGAAUAUGUGAGAGCGAAACUUCAGUUAAGACAAAUUCUACAGUGGCCGAAGAACUAGCCAAUGCCGCUACAUCGGAGACAAAGUACAAAGCGUCCGAAGACGGAUAAAUGUCACUAAAGAAAUCACAACUAACGCUAUCGCCGAAAAACUGUUUGAUUACGUUGAAAGUGAGGACAACUUUGAAGCGGAGACACAUUACACCGGCGCCAAACAGCAGAAAAAUGAUGAAAGUGGCCAAAAAAAAUUACGCAGACUUUGAAUGUUUGGAGAAUGACACUGAAGGGGAGAACAACAAAGAUCCGGAAUCAAGGAGUACGUUUUUGUAUUAAAAUAGAGUACACAUAAGGACAUUUUUUCCGAAUAGGAAUGUUUUCAUAUGGUGUUAACCUAUGCAGUCAAUUUUUAAAUUCCUCAAAGUCAAUUUACAUGUUUGUGUUGCAAAUAUAAAUAUUAACCCCCAUUCACGAGCUUUGUCGAAAUAAACGACCUAUAAAUAAACCUCAUGAUUUCAGAAAUUAUUGGAUAUAGUUGUCAUGCACAUAAUAACGACUUAUUGUUGUUUAUAACAUAACUCAAUUAUCAUUUACGGUGUUCGUUCUUUGAUUUAUUGGUGUUUUAUUUUCUUUAUUUGGGGAUAUUGCUGUGUAUUGUUGUUCUUUAAACAAAGACCGAAUAUUUUGAGAAUAGUGUACGAUAAAAGAAUACUUGGUAUAAAUGACGAAUACUGAUUCCUUUAUUUACUCGGCAUGUAUGCAUCUACCAAUACCCCAUGUUUAUUGCUCAGGUUUCUUUUUGUAAGCAUCGCUAAAUAAAAUAAUGUGAACUGAUUUACUUAAACGAGUUGAAGAACAUUGUUACGAGCAGUCAACGAACCUCUUUUUCGAAUCCUCAGGUCUUGUUUAUUACAAUAUGAAGGGAGUCGACGAUCACUGGUUAAACUUGUGAAUAUCAUGCUCUUCAACAAAUGAACAACCAACACUCUUUCAAAAAAAGUUGAUGAAACCCAACAGUUAAUAAAGAAAGUUAAUUCAUUUGAUAAUGCAGUUGGAGAUUUUGAUAAACAACAUCAUGCUAUUUGCCGAUACCAAAAACACUAACAACCCUAUGAAAACCCAAAAUGUGAUCUAACAAAUAUUUAAGAAGAACAACACA
Dreissena polymorpha is the source of this 1484-nucleotide long non-coding RNA. RefSeq lists it as uncharacterized. Lineage: Eukaryota; Metazoa; Mollusca; Bivalvia; Myida; Dreissenidae. The record is from RefSeq and is a predicted model, not a curated record. The transcript has 3 exons.